This 150-nucleotide small RNA is filed under the name Pongo abelii (Sumatran orangutan). Its description in RNAcentral is "Metazoan signal recognition particle RNA (ENSPPYG00000033935.1)". The record is from Rfam by way of RNAcentral. Lineage: Eukaryota; Metazoa; Chordata; Mammalia; Primates; Hominidae.
GCCGGGCGUGGUGGCGGGCGCCUGUAAUCCCAGCUACUUGGGAGGCUGAGGCAGGAGAAUUGCUUGAACCCAGGAGGCUGAGGUUGCAGUGAGCCGAGAUCACGCCACUGCACACUCCAGCCUGGGUGACAGAGUGAAACGCUGUCUCAA